This 465-nucleotide ribosomal RNA is filed under the name Vreelandella stevensii. RNAcentral describes it as "partial 16S ribosomal RNA". It matches the Rfam family "Bacterial small subunit ribosomal RNA", at positions 338 to 795 of the family's 1533-position model. The record is from RNAcentral. Lineage: Bacteria; Pseudomonadati; Pseudomonadota; Gammaproteobacteria; Oceanospirillales; Halomonadaceae.
CCUACGGGGGGCUGCAGUGGGGAAUAUUGGACAAUGGGGGGAACCCUGAUCCAGCCAUGCCGCGUGUGUGAAGAAGGCCCUCGGGUUGUAAAGCACUUUCAGUGAGGAAGAACGCCUGGUGGUUAAUACCCAUCAGGAAAGACAUCACUCACAGAAGAAGCACCGGCUAACUCCGUGCCAGCAGCCGCGGUAAUACGGAGGGUGCGAGCGUUAAUCGGAAUUACUGGGCGUAAAGCGCGCGUAGGUGGCUUGAUAAGCCGGUCGUGAAAGCCCCGGGCUCAACCUGGGAACGGCAUCCGGAACUGUCCAGCUAGAGUGCAGGAGAGGAAGGUAGAAUUCCCGGUGUAGCGGUGAAAUGCGUAGAGAUCGGGAGGAAUACCAGUGGCGAAGGCGGCCUUCUGGACUGACACUGACACUGAGGUGCGAAAGCGUGGGUAGCAAACAGGAUUAGAUAUCCUUGUAGUC